RNAcentral lists this ribosomal RNA (439 nucleotides) under uncultured bacterium. RNAcentral describes it as "partial 16S ribosomal RNA". It matches the Rfam family "Bacterial small subunit ribosomal RNA", at positions 339 to 795 of the family's 1533-position model. The record is from RNAcentral.
CUACGGGGUGCACCAGUGGGGAAUAUUGCACAAUGGACGAAAGUCUGAUGCAGCAACGCCGCGUGGAGGAUGACACAUUUCGGUGCGUAAACUCCUUUUAUAUAAGAAGAUAAUGACGGUAUUAUAUGAAUAAGCACCGGCUAACUCCGUGCCAGCAGCCGCGGUAAUACGGAGGGUGCAAGCGUUACUCGGAAUCACUGGGCGUAAAGAGCGUGUAGGCGGAUAGAUAAGUUGGAAGUGAAAUCCUAUGGCUCAACCAUAGAACUGCUUCCAAAACUGUCUAUCUAGAAUAUGGGAGAGGUAGAUGGAAUUUCUGGUGUAGGGGUAAAAUCCGUAGAGAUCAGAAGGAAUACCGAUUGCGAAGGCGAUCUACUGGAACAUUAUUGACGCUGAGACGCGAAAGCGUGGGGAGCAAACAGGAUUAGAUACCCCGGUAGUC